This 211-nucleotide long non-coding RNA is filed under the name Nicotiana benthamiana. RNAcentral describes it as "long non-coding RNA (NBEN_LNC029870)". Lineage: Eukaryota; Viridiplantae; Streptophyta; Magnoliopsida; Solanales; Solanaceae. The record is from RNAcentral.
UCAGCCGUCCAUGUAUCCCCUCACCCCCAAAACGCUCUCAACCCCUUCUGAACCAUAUCCUUUCUCCGGCUCCAUUUCUCCGGCGUUUAUGGCUUCUCAAGCUUCAAAACAUAUGUACUCACCUCUCCCUGCCUCCUAUGGUUCAUUUUUCGAACAUCGAAGCCCUAUCUUGAAUACUAUAGACACAAAGGUCCUUCGACUGGAGUUUUAC